GAAACGCGAUAGGUAAUGUGAAUUGCAGAAUUCCGUGAAUCAUCGAAUCUUUGAACGCACCUUGCGCUCCAUGGUAUUCCGUGGAGCAUGCCUGUUUGAGUGCCGCGAAUUCUCCCUCCCCUUACGGUGGCCGAAAGGCCGAAGUAGGGCGGACGGGGUAGGAUGGGUGUUGCUGCCUGGGGAUUGUACCAGGCUCGCCCGAAAUGCAUAAGCGCCAGGACCCUCGCUACCGCUCUCUAGGGAAGAGUGGCUAAGCGACCGCUGAGCAUGGCAUGAUACGUCAUUUGCUGUGUGUGGGCGGCCGGUUGGAGAGGUGUCUGCUUUACCAGCCCUUUUUUAAUUCUGGUCUCAAAUCAGGUAGGAUCACCCGCUGAACUUAA
This 380-nucleotide unclassified non-coding RNA is filed under the name uncultured Malassezia. RNAcentral describes it as "sequence contains ITS1". The stretch from base 1 to 105 matches the Rfam family "5.8S ribosomal RNA", at positions 50 to 154 of the family's 154-position model. The record is from RNAcentral. Lineage: Eukaryota; Fungi; Basidiomycota; Malasseziomycetes; Malasseziales; Malasseziaceae.